This 254-nucleotide ribosomal RNA is filed under the name uncultured bacterium. RNAcentral's name for it is "partial 16S ribosomal RNA". It matches the Rfam family "Bacterial small subunit ribosomal RNA", at positions 524 to 776 of the family's 1533-position model. The record is from RNAcentral.
UACGAAGGUGGCAAGCGUUGUCCGGAUUUACUGGGCGUAAAGAGCGCGUAGGCGGUCUGUUAAGUGUAGAGUGAAAUCUCCAGGGCUCAACCCGGAAACUGCUCUGCAUACUGGCAGACUGGAGUGAUGCAGAGGUUUGUGGAAUUCCUGGUGUAACGGUGAAAUGUGUUGAUAUCAGGAGGAACACCCAUGGCGAAGGCAGCAAACUGGGCAUUAACUGACGCUGAGGCGCGAAAGCGUGGGUAGCAAACAGG